UAGAGUUUGAUCCUGGCUCAGAGCGAACGCUGGCGGCAGGCCUAAUACAUGCAAGUCGAGCGGCCCUUCGGGGCAGCGGCGGACGGGUGAGUAACGCGUGGGAACGUGCCCUUUGGUUCGGAACAACACAGGGAAACUUGUGCUAAUACCGAAUGUGCCCUUCGGGGGAAAGAUUUAUCGCCAUUGGAGCGGCCCGCGUUGGAUUAGGUAGUUGGUGGGGUAAAGGCCUACCAAGCCUACGAUCCAUAGCUGGUCUGAGAGGAUGAUCAGCCACACUGGGACUGAGACACGGCCCAGACUCCUACGGGAGGCAGCAGUAGGGAAUCUUGCGCAAUGGGCGAAAGCCUGACGCAGCCAUGCCGCGUGAAUGAUGAAGGUCUUAGGAUUGUAAAAUUCUUUCACCGGGGAAGAUAAUGACGGUACCCGGAGAAGAAGCCCCGGCUAACUUCGUGCCAGCAGCCGCGGUAAUACGAAGGGGGCUAGCGUUGCUCGGAAUUACUGGACGUAAAGGGCGCGUAGGCGGACAUUUAAGUCAGAGGUGAAAGCCCAGGGCUCAACCUUGGAAUUGCCUUUGAUACUGGAUGUCUUGAGUUCGGGAGAGGUGAGUGGAAUGCCGAGUGUAUAGGUGAAAUUCGUAGAUAUUCGGCGGAACACCAGUGGCGAAGGCGACUC
RNAcentral lists this ribosomal RNA (672 nucleotides) under uncultured bacterium. RNAcentral's name for it is "bacterial SSU rRNA". It matches the Rfam family "Bacterial small subunit ribosomal RNA", at positions 1 to 727 of the family's 1533-position model. The record is from RNAcentral.